Molecule: long non-coding RNA, 995 nt
Organism: Eriocheir sinensis (Chinese mitten crab)
Lineage: Eukaryota; Metazoa; Arthropoda; Malacostraca; Decapoda; Varunidae
Exons: 3
Source: RefSeq, a predicted model, not a curated record
GGAGAUGAGAUUGGGGGACGAGUGAGCCGAGAUCCUGUUUAUAUUCAAGUUCACAAAUUUGACGAGACUCGGUAUACAGGAAAGGUCUUAUAUUGUCAUGAUACGAAGGAAAGGGAAGAGAAGGGAGAUGAGAUUGGGAGACGAGUGAGCCGAGAUCCUGUUUAUAUUCAAGUUCACAAAUUUGACGAGACUAUACAGGAAAGGUCUUAUAUUGUCAUGAUACGAAGGAAAGGGAGGAGAAGGGAGAUGAGAUUGGGAGACGAGUGAGCCGAGAUCCUGUUUAUAUUCAAGUUCACAAAUUUGACAAGACUAUACAGGAAAAGCUGUGUUUAUGAUAUGAAGGAAAGGGAAGAGAAGGGAGAUGAGUAAGCUGAGAUCCUGUUUAUAUUCAAGUCCACAAAUUUGACGACACAAUACAGGAAAAGCUCUUUGUAUUUAGUGUGUCAUCGAAGACCGCGCCAUUUUGAACAGUAUGGGAUUCUAUAGCUUGGUUCAGGAGUGUUACAAAGACUGUGAUGGACUGUGGAAGCGGCCCUUAAUGUUCCCUGUUCUAAUAUGCCUCUCUGUUUUUGCAGGAUGCCGCGGACGGACCAUGCAGAGGACUCAUCGCGACGACACCAACGGUUUGGUUAAGUGGGUUCUCUUGUGUGUGCGUCUGUGUGUGAAUGGCAGGCCUGUCGUAUGAUUGUGUGUGUGUGUGCGUUGGCGUUAUGCCUUCGCACUAUUAUUUUGUUAGGAUGUAUUUUUGUGUGUGAACUUUUUGCACGUAAUCUUUUUUUAUACCCAUAGCUAGCGUUUGUUUGUGUGGCAGUGUUCCGGGAGAUGGACGCCGGGGGACAUGGGCUUGGGGAGGCGCACAUGACCUCCUCUGUCCGUGACCUCUUCAGCUGGGGAGACCGUGUGUUGCCCCGCCUGGAGAGACACGUUGAUGGAGGUGGCCGUGUGUGUCACCCUUUGCCUGUAUCCUCUGGCGCCCAGAGGCGCGUAAGCGGAGC